Molecule: long non-coding RNA, 994 nt
Organism: Centruroides sculpturatus (bark scorpion)
Lineage: Eukaryota; Metazoa; Arthropoda; Arachnida; Scorpiones; Buthidae
Exons: 3
Source: RefSeq, a predicted model, not a curated record
ACCUGUAUCUUUUAUUUUUAUUUUAUAAUUAUGUUUUUGUAAUAAUCUAUUUAGAAAUAGUAAUAAUCAUUUAUUGCACUUUAACAGAAGAACACCUUUAUACUGUGCCAGCCACGAGGGUCACAUUAAUUGUACAUCUGUUUUACUUGCAAAUGGUGCUAAUCCUAAUGUUGCCGACAAUGAAGGUAAAAUCCCUCUUCAUGUUGCUUGUUUGAAUGGCUGUCUGGAUGUUGUGAGAUUAUUAUGUGAAUAUGGUGUUCAUGUUAAUUGCAUGGCUGCAGUAAAUAAAAGAUGCACUCCACUGGAUUAUGCAUUGAAAUCAGAACAGACGGAAAUAGCACAGAUUCUUAUAGAGUCGGGAGGCCUGACGUCUUUGGAUAUCGAAACGAUUGCUGCCGCCGUGAUUCAGGUACAAAAAAGUUUAAUAUGUAAUAUUGUAAUUAUGAUCAUUGAUUUUUUAUUAUAAUUUGAUUUUAUAUUACACUUGAAUGAAGUAAAUAUCAUUGUAAGAAAUUAAUAAAUGAUGAUAAAAUAUUCUGAAGUCGGCAUGGCAAUUGAUCUCUAUGUUUAUAAAUUGAUAUAUUGUGGAAGCAAACAUUGGGAACUCUUGGUUCUGUAACUGGUGAUGUAUACGCACAGUAGGCAGAAUUUUGGGUUUGAAUUUCACUCCAAGCUAAUCUUUAUAUUCAUAAUCUAGUAAAUUAUUUAGUUUGAUUGAAAAUGUAUUUACAAUUAGUAAGUACAAGAUGAUGGACUAAUCACCUACCUUUAGGCAAAAUUACACCAUUUAAUCAUUUAAUUGUUACCUUAGUUAUAGCCUGAAAAUUUGGAAUGUAGUUAUUUAGAUAUGAAAAUAAUAUCCAGUGAUUAUAUAUUCUUUGUAUGUGUUUAUAUAUAUAUUAGCAUUAUUCAAUUACUUUAUCUGUAGUCAAUAGAUAUACAUAUAUAACAUAACUACAAAAACCCUAAUUUGAUAGUGAGGCAUAAAUUUAAA